GAUGAACGCUGGCGGCGUGCCUAAUACAUGCAAGUCGAGCGAACGGACGAGAAGCUUGCUUCUCUGAUGUUAGCGGCGGACGGGUGAGUAACACGUGGAUAACCUACCUAUAAGACUGGGAUAACUUCGGGAAACCGGAGCUAAUACCGGAUAAUAUUUUGAACCGCAUGGUUCAAAAGUGAAAGACGGUCUUGCUGUCAUUUAUAGAUGGAUCCGCGCUGCAUUAGCUAGUUGGUAAGGUAACGGCUUACCAAGGCAACGAUGCAUAGCCGACCUGAGAGGGUGAUCGGCCACACUGGAACUGAGACACGGUCCAGACUCCUACGGGAGGCAGCAGUAGGGAAUCUUCCGCAAUGGGCGAAAGCCUGACGGAGCAACGCCGCGUGAGUGAUGAAGGUCUUCGGAUCGUAAAACUCUGUUAUUAGGGAAGAACAUAUGUGUAAGUAACUGUGAACAUCUUGACGGUACCUAAUCAGAAAGCCACGGCUAACUACGUG
Molecule: ribosomal RNA, 497 nt
Filed under: uncultured bacterium
Lineage: Bacteria
Description: partial 16S ribosomal RNA
Rfam family: Bacterial small subunit ribosomal RNA
Source: RNAcentral